RNAcentral lists this ribosomal RNA (253 nucleotides) under uncultured bacterium. RNAcentral's name for it is "partial 16S ribosomal RNA". It matches the Rfam family "Bacterial small subunit ribosomal RNA", at positions 524 to 776 of the family's 1533-position model. The record is from RNAcentral.
GACGUAGGGCGCGAGCGUUGUCCGGAUUUAUUGGGCGUAAAGAGCUCGUAGGCGGCUUGUCGCGUCGACUGUGAAAACCCGCGGCUCAACUGCGGGCCUGCAGUCGAUACGGGCAGGCUAGAGUUCGGUAGGGGAGACUGGAUUUCCUGGUGUAGCGGUGAAAUGCGCAGAUAUCAGGAGGAACACCGGUGGCGAAGGCGGGUCUCUGGGCCGAUACUGACGCUGUAGAGCGAAAGCGUGGGGAGCGAACAGG